RNAcentral lists this ribosomal RNA (433 nucleotides) under uncultured bacterium. Its description in RNAcentral is "partial 16S ribosomal RNA". It matches the Rfam family "Bacterial small subunit ribosomal RNA", at positions 29 to 507 of the family's 1533-position model. The record is from RNAcentral.
AACGAACGCUGGCGGCAUGCCUAACACAUGCAAGUCGAACGAGACCUUCGGGUCUAGUGGCGCACGGGUGCGUAACGCGUGGGAACCUGCCCUUAGGUUCGGAAUAACUCCCCGAAAGGGGUGCUAAUUCCGGAUAAUGUCUUCGGACCAAAGAUUUAUCGCCUUUGGAUGGGCCCGCGUUGGAUUAGCUAGUUGGUAGGGUAAAAGCCUACCAAGGCGACGAUCCAUAGCUGGUCUGAGAGGACGAUCAGCCACACUGGGACUGAGACACGGCCCAGACUCCUACGGGAGGCAGCAGUGGGGAAUAUUGGACAAUGGGCGAAAGCCUGAUCCAGCAAUGCCGCGUGAGUGAUGAAGGCCUUAGGGUUGUAAAGCUCUUUUACCCGGGAUGAUAAUGACAGUACCGGGAGAAUAAGCUCCGGCUAACUCCGUG